RNAcentral lists this ribosomal RNA (254 nucleotides) under uncultured bacterium. RNAcentral describes it as "partial 16S ribosomal RNA". It matches the Rfam family "Bacterial small subunit ribosomal RNA", at positions 524 to 776 of the family's 1533-position model. The record is from RNAcentral.
UACAGAGGUCUCAAGCGUUGUUCGGAUUCAUUGGGCGUAAAGGGCGCGUAGGCGGCGGGGUCAGUCGGGUGUGAAAUCUUGGGGCUUAACCCCGAAACGGCACUCGAAACUGCCCGGCUGGAGGGCCGGAGAGGAGAUCGGAAUUCACGGUGUAGCAGUGAAAUGCGUAGAGAUCGUGAGGAAGACCCGUGGCGAAGGCGGAUCUCUGGACGGCUAACUGACGCUGAGGCGCGAAAGCGUGGGGAGCGAACAGG